UGGGGAAUAUUGCACAAUGGGCGCAAGCCUGAUGCAGCCAUGCCGCGUGUAUGAAGAAGGCCUUCGGGUUGUAAAGUACUUUCAGCGGGGAGGAAGGUGUUGAGGCUAAUAACCUCAGCAAUUGACGUUACCAGCAGAAGAAGCACCGGCUAACUCCGUGCCAGCAGCCGCGGUAAUACGGAGGGUGCAGGCGUUAAUCGGAAUUACUGGGCGUAAAGCGCACGCAGGCGGUCUGUCAAGUCGGAUGUGAAAUCCCCGGGCUCAACCUGGGAACUGCAUUCGAAACUGGCAGGCUAGAGUCUUGUAGAGGGGGGUAGAAUUCCAGGUGUAGCGGUGAAAUGCGUAGAGAUCUGGAGGAAUACCGGUGGCGAAGGCGGCCCCCUGGACAAAGACUGACGCUCAGGUGCGAAAGCGUGGGGAGCAAACA
Molecule: ribosomal RNA, 427 nt
Filed under: uncultured bacterium
Lineage: Bacteria
Description: partial 16S ribosomal RNA
Rfam family: Bacterial small subunit ribosomal RNA
Source: RNAcentral